GCGCGCAGUCCGGGGUUAGGCAGGCUGCAGUGGAGGAGGGUACGCCGUUCCAUUGGCGUGGUACUGUCGGCGGCCCUUCAGAGGAGAUGCUGCCCCACGGAACGCCUGGCAAGUGCUGGCGAAGCGGCAUGGGCGUCCCACUCCGUUCCUCAACCAAUUUCCUCACAAUCGCGAGCCGAAGUGUGGCGCUUUGGCAGUUUCGCAAGAAGCUUCCAGCCUUCAGAUUUGAACUGGGACACUGGCUCUGCAGAUUUUGGACUUGCCAGCCUUCAUAAUUGUAACCUACACUCCUGUCAUUUGUGGAAUGAUUGCUGGAGCCAGAGGCCAGGAAGAAGUUCAUGAGCCUGAGAGAAAAAGCAAGGAUUUCCAGUUCUACCCUGUGAGGAAAACAAGGCUUGGAGUGGGUAAGUUGCCAAGUUUGUAUGGCAGAGCCCAGCCCUGACUCCAGGGGAUGCUGUUCUCACCCCAUCUCGUGGCCACCAUCCCUGGACUUUCCCUGCAGGGCCUUCUUGGAAAUGCACAGGUGCCACUUGACUUUGAAUAUUCCAUUGCUAUAAAUAAGGAACUCUUCUCAGUUCAGUGUGGGAAGAGGGGAUGGAGAGCUGCAAUUUGGUCCCAAGCCUGCUGUUUGCUCCAAGUAUCGGCCACAUCCAUUUUACAAGCAAUUGGCAUUAUGGUUAUGGUUGAUGGUAUCAUAAAGCCUUGGCCCUGAUGCCCAAUGCCAUCAUGACUUUCCUGACAGCUCUGUCUUAAGGCUGCUGUUUCAUGGCAGUCAAACCCACAGAGGCUCAGCAACCUCCAUUGGUAACAGGAGCAUUGGCACUUACAGCGAUAAUAAAAUCCCAAGGAAACAAAAUGCAUUCUUAUAAGCUGGCAGGAUGAACGUCACCUCCCCUAUUAAUUAUGCAAAUGCAACCUGAGUCCUGGCUGCACUUAAUUUCCCCACUUCCCAAGGACUAAGUUUGUCAUGAGUGAAAAAGCCACUUUAUAUAUGUCACCUUGUUGGUUUGGUGGCUAUGAGCUGUCAGAGAGCCAGGUUAUCAGUUGGGAGUAAUUAAUGGGCUCGUGGAAUUUUUGUUGUUUGUUCUUUUUUGUUCUUUUCGCAAAUGUUGUCAUUUCUGGCCAAG
This 1127-nucleotide long non-coding RNA is filed under the name Homo sapiens (human). Its description in RNAcentral is "HSALNT0126177". Lineage: Eukaryota; Metazoa; Chordata; Mammalia; Primates; Hominidae. The record is from RNAcentral.